Stegodyphus dumicola is the source of this 281-nucleotide long non-coding RNA. Lineage: Eukaryota; Metazoa; Arthropoda; Arachnida; Araneae; Eresidae. The record is from RefSeq and is a predicted model, not a curated record.
UUUCAAACUAUAUAAACCGGCGAAAUUUUAUCAAAUAUCAGUUGGAAAUCGGAAAGCAACAAACAGUCAACAUGAUCUCUCAGGUGUUCAUCAUCGCUAUUGUAGCUACUGCUGCAUUCGCAUGGGUUGUCCCUGUUCAUCAUGCUCCCCAACCAUACAAAUUUGGAUAUAACAUAAAAGACCACCAUAGUCAGCAGCAUAGGGAAGAAGUCGGAGACGGCGUCAGCGGAGUGAAAGGAAGUACGGAUCACCGAUGCUCGAGGAUUCACAGACAGGGAACU